UACGUAGGUGGCAAGCGUUGUCCGGAAUUAUUGGGCGUAAAGGGCGCGCAGGCGGCCUGUCAAGUCUGACUUAAAAGUGCGGGGCUCAACCCCGUGAUGGGACGUAAACUGGCAGGGUGGAGUGUCGGAGAGGAAAGCAGAAUUCCUAGUGGAGCGGUGAAAUGCGUAAAUAUUAGGAGGAAUACCAGUGGCGAAAGCGGCUUUCUGGACGACAACUGACGCUGAAGCGCGAAAGCCAGGGGAGCAAACGGGAUUAAAUACCCCGGUAGUCCUGGCCGUAAACGAUGGGUACUAGGUGUAGGAGGUAUCGACCCCUUCUGUGCCGGAGUUAACGCAAUAAGUAUCCCGCCUGGGGAGUACGGCCGCAAGGCUGAAACUCAAAGGAAUUGACGGGGGCCCGCACAAGCGGUGGAGUAUGUGGUUUAAUUCGACGCAACGCGAAGAACCUUACCAAGCCUUGACAUUGAUUGAACGAGGCAGAGAUGCCUUUUUCCUCUUCGGAGGACAAGAAAACAGGUGGUGCACGCCUGUCGUCAGCUCGUGUCGUGAGAUGUUGGGUUAAGUCCCGCAACGAGCGCAACCCCUAUCUUCUGUUACCAGCACGUAAGGGUGGGGACUCAGGAGAGACUGCCGCAGACAAUACGGAGGAAGGCGGGGAUGACGUCAAGUCAUCAUGCCCCUUAUGGCGUGGGGUACACACGUACUACAAUGGCUCUUAAUAGAGGGACGCGAAGGAGCGAUCUGGAGCAAACUCCAAAAACAGAGUCCCAGUUCGGAUUGCAGGCUGCAACCCGCCUGCAUGAAGCAGGAAUCGCUAGUAAUCGCAGGUCAGCAUACUGCGGUGAAUACGUUCCCGGGCCU
RNAcentral lists this ribosomal RNA (861 nucleotides) under uncultured bacterium. RNAcentral's name for it is "SSU rRNA". It matches the Rfam family "Bacterial small subunit ribosomal RNA", at positions 524 to 1381 of the family's 1533-position model. The record is from RNAcentral.